Molecule: long non-coding RNA, 910 nt
Organism: Pygocentrus nattereri (red-bellied piranha)
Lineage: Eukaryota; Metazoa; Chordata; Actinopteri; Characiformes; Serrasalmidae
Source: Ensembl
CCCCUUUAAUAAGCUCAUCAAAAUAGCUGUCUUUAUAAAUCUUUGUUUUCAUCCUGAAGUCGUGCUUGGAAGUAGGAGGCGGUCAGAGAGAGAGAGAGAGAGAGAGAGAGAGAGAGAGAGAGAGAGAGACAGACAGACAGAGAGAGAGAGAGAGAGAGAGAGAGAGAGAGAGAGAGAGAGAGAUGCCCUAUCAGUCGCUGGCUUCGCACAAAAUGCUGAAUAUUCAAUGACCUAUCACCUAAAACAGCAGAGGGAUACGUCAAAACCACAGCGCUUCAUUCAGCUUCAGAGGGAGGAAGCUCAGUCGUGAAAGGAGUCGCUGCCGAGAGGACAGGCUCUAUUCCCUCAGUCAACACUCAGUCGGUCAUUACGAAAGUUUUUUUACUUUUAAGCAAACGGACGCACACACGGCUCGCGUUUGUGAAGGACGGCAUGGACGGGCUCCUCGUAUCGUAUGCAAAUACCGCUGCUGACGUCGCUGGUCAUGUGGCUUUUGGCGUAGAUCCCCCUGCGCUCGCGGAUUUUUUUUCGGCCGUUGUCUUUAGGGUUCGGUUCGAAUCUUACGGUUACCGAACCGAGCCGCUCCUCCUCCGCUCGGAAAAAGGGGGCACUUUCAGGACAAGGCUGCUCGCACCGUCGCCCCACACUCCACCAUACGUGGUCGGACAGGUGCAGAACAGGACGUUCUCUCGAAGGAAAAGUGGUGGAGAAGCAAAAGCUUCUACACCAUUACCUUAACCCACACCCUGUUCUCAGGGGAGACCAUCUCUGACUGAUCGUGUGGCCUGGGAUGCAGUCUCAUGAAGUCGCCCACUGCAGCUGACAUUAAAAGUCAGCAGAAAUAUUCACCUUUAUUCUUCAGACAAAGGUCCACCCAUCAUUCAUCAACAGUCCUCCAUCAAGGUUGCAC